This 514-nucleotide ribosomal RNA is filed under the name uncultured bacterium. Its description in RNAcentral is "bacterial SSU rRNA". It matches the Rfam family "Bacterial small subunit ribosomal RNA", at positions 365 to 871 of the family's 1533-position model. The record is from RNAcentral.
UGGACAAUGGGGCGCAAGCCUGAUCCAGCCAUGCCGCGUGUCUGAAGAAGGCCUUCGGGUUGUAAAGGACUUUUGUCAGGGAGCAAAACUUACUGGUUAAUACCUGGUGAGGUUGAGAGUACCUGAAGAAUAAGCACCGGCUAACUACGUGCCAGCAGCCGCGGUAAUACGUAGGGUGCAAGCGUUAAUCGGAAUUACUGGGCGUAAAGCGUGCGCAGGCGGACUUUUAAGCCAGAUGUGAAAGCCCCGAGCUUAACUUGGGAAUUGCGUUUGGAACUGGGAGUCUAGAGUCUGUCAGAGGGGAUGGAAUUCCACGUGUAGCAGUGAAAUGCGUAGAGAUGUGGAGGAACACCGAUGGCGAAGGCAGUCCCCUGGGAUAAGACUGACGCUCAUGCACGAAAACGUGGGGAGCAAACAGGAUUAGAUACCCUGGUAGUCCACGCCCUAAACGAUGUCUACUAGUUGUUGGGGUAGUCAAUACCUCAGUGACGCAGCUAACGCGUGAAGUAGACCG